CGAAUGCUGACAUAAGUAACGAUAAAGCGGGUGAAAAGCCCGCUCGCCGGAAGACCAAGGGUUCCUGUCCAACGUUAAUCGGGGCAGGGUGAGUCGACCCCUAAGGCGAGGCCGAAAGGCGUAGUCGAUGGGAAACAGGUUAAUAUUCCUGUACUUGGUGUUACUGCGAAGGGGGGACGGAGAAGGCUAUGUUGGCCGGGCGACGGUUGUCCCGGUUUAAGCGUGUAGGCUGGUUUUCCAGGCAAAUCCGGAAAAUCAAGGCUGAGGCGUGAUGACGAGGCACUACGGUGCUGAAGCAACAAAUGCCCUGCUUCCAGGAAAAGCCUCUAAGCAUCAGGUAACAUCAAAUCGUACCCCAAACCGACACAGGUGGUCAGGUAGAGAAUACCAAGGCGCUUGAGAGAACUCGGGUGAAGGAACUAGGCAAAAUGGUGCCGUAACUUCGGGAGAAGGCACGCUGAUAUGUAGGUGAAGUCCCUCGCGGAUGGAGCUGAAAUCAGUCGAAGAUACCAGCUGGCUGCAACUGUUUAUUAAAAACACAGCACUGUGCAAACACGAAAGUGGACGUAUACGGUGUGACGCCUGCCCGGUGCCGGAAGGUUAAUUGAUGGGGUCAGCGCAAGCGAAGCUCUUGAUCGAAGCCCCGGUAAACGGCGGCCGUAACUAUAACGGUCCUAAGGUAGCGAAAUUCCUUGUCGGGUAAGUUCCGACCUGCACGAAUGGCGUAAUGAUGGCCAGGCUGUCUCCACCCGAGACUCAGUGAAAUUGAACUCGCUGUGAAGAUGCAGUGUACCCGCGGCAAGACGGAAAGACCCCGUGAACCUUUACUAUAGCUUGACACUGAACAUUGAGCCUUGAUGUGUAGGAUAGGUGGGAGGCUUUGAAGUGUGGACGCCAGUCUGCAUGGAGCCGACCUUGAAAUACCACCCUUUAAUGUUUGAUGUUCUAACGUGGACCCGUGAUCCGGGUUGCGGACAGUGUCUGGUGGGUAGUUUGACUGGGGCGGUCUCCUCCUAAAGAGUAACGGAGGAGCACGAAGGUUGGCUAAUCCUGGUCGGACAUCAGGAGGUUAGUGCAAUGGCAUAAGCCAGCUUGACUGCGAGCGUGACGGCGCGAGCAGGUGCGAAAGCAGGUCAUAGUGAUCCGGUGGUUCUGAAUGGAAGGGCCAUCGCUCAACGGAUAAAAGGUACUCCGGGGAUAACAGGCUGAUACCGCCCAAGAGUUCAUAUCGACGGCGGUGUUUGGCACCUCGAUGUCGGCUCAUCACAUCCUGGGGCUGAAGUAGGUCCCAAGGGUAUGGCUGUUCGCCAUUUAAAGUGGUACGCGAGCUGGGUUUAGAACGUCGUGAGACAGUUCGGUCCCUAUCUGCCGUGGGCGCUGGAGAACUGAGGGGGGCUGCUCCUAGUACGAGAGGACCGGAGUGGACGCAUCACUGGUGUUCGGGUUGUCAUGCCAAUGGCACUGCCCGGUAG
This 1472-nucleotide ribosomal RNA is filed under the name Escherichia coli. RNAcentral's name for it is "partial 23S ribosomal RNA". It matches the Rfam family "Bacterial large subunit ribosomal RNA", at positions 1291 to 2748 of the family's 2925-position model. Lineage: Bacteria; Pseudomonadati; Pseudomonadota; Gammaproteobacteria; Enterobacterales; Enterobacteriaceae. The record is from RNAcentral.